RNAcentral lists this ribosomal RNA (252 nucleotides) under uncultured bacterium. Its description in RNAcentral is "partial 16S ribosomal RNA". It matches the Rfam family "Bacterial small subunit ribosomal RNA", at positions 524 to 775 of the family's 1533-position model. The record is from RNAcentral.
UACGAAGGGGGCUAGCGUUGCUCGGAAUCACUGGGCGUAAAGCGCACGUAGGCGGAUUGCUAAGUCAGGGGUGAAAUCCUGGGAGCUCAACUCCAGAACUGCCCUUGAUACUGGCGGUCUCGAGUCCGGGAGAGGUGAGUGGAACUGCGAGUGUAGAGGUGAAUUCGUAGAUAUUCGCAAGAACACCAGUGGCGAAGGCGGCUCACUGGCCCGGUACUGACGCUGAGGUGCGAAAGCGUGGGGAGCAAACGG